Molecule: unclassified non-coding RNA, 382 nt
Filed under: soil metagenome
Description: partial contains 5.8S ribosomal RNA, internal transcribed spacer 2, and large subunit ribosomal RNA
Rfam family: 5.8S ribosomal RNA (bases 1-120)
Source: RNAcentral
GAUGAAGAACGUAGUGAAAUGCGAUAAGUAAUGUGAAUUGCAGAAUUCAGUGAAUCAUCGAAUCUUUGAACGCACAUUGCGCCCCCUGGUAUUCCGGGGGGCAUGCCUGUCCGAGCGUCAUUGCACCCCUCGAGCCCCCCGUGGCUUGGUCGUGAGCCGCGCCCGCGCCAGCCCCGUCCCCCCCCGUGCAGCGGGGGGCAGGGGCGCCGGGCGGGCUCGAAACGCAGUGGCGGCCCCCGGGCGACUUCCAGCGCGAUGACAUGUUUCGCUGCCGAAGCCUUCGCCCCGGGCGCCCGCCAGGCAACCCCCGUGCUUCUUACGCGGUUGACCUCGGAUCAGGCAGGGAUACCCGCUGAACUUAAGCAUAUCAAUAAGCGGAGGA